AACUUUGCAAUGUGCGAAAGCACGACAAGGUUAACUCCGAGUGGUUUCUGCUAAAGAAACCUUUUGCUAGCUCCUAGAAACACUAGUGAAUAAGGGGUGGGCAAGUUCUGGUGUCAGCCGCCGCGGUAAAACCASCACCUCAAGUGGUCAGGAUGAUUAUUGGGCCUAAAGCAUCCGUAGCUCGUUUUGUAAGUUUUCGGUUAAAUCCAUACGCUUAACGUAUGGGCUGCCGGGAAUACUGCAUAACUAGGAAGUGGGAGAGGUAGACGGUACUCGGUAGGAAGGGGUAAAAUCCUUUGAUCUAUUGAUGACCACCUGUGGCGAAGGCGGUCUACCAGAACACGUUCGACGGUGAGGGAUGAAAGCUGGGGGAGCAAACCGGAUUAGAUACCCGGGUAGUCCCAGCUGUAAACUAUGCAAACUCAGUGAUGCAUUGGCUUGUGGCCAAUGCAGUGCUGCAGGGAAGCCGUUAAGUUUGCCGCCUGGAAGUACGUACGCAAGUAUGAAACUUAA
This 513-nucleotide ribosomal RNA is filed under the name uncultured crenarchaeote. RNAcentral describes it as "bacterial SSU rRNA". It matches the Rfam family "Archaeal small subunit ribosomal RNA", at positions 346 to 859 of the family's 1478-position model. Lineage: Archaea; Thermoproteati; Thermoproteota. The record is from RNAcentral.